Molecule: long non-coding RNA, 426 nt
Filed under: Vigna radiata
Lineage: Eukaryota; Viridiplantae; Streptophyta; Magnoliopsida; Fabales; Fabaceae
Description: long non-coding RNA (VRAD_LNC015425)
Source: RNAcentral
GUGGAGCAAGGAAAAAAAAAUACCCACAAAAUAGUGAAAAAAGAGGGGAGAGAUUUGACUUGUAUUGUAGAAGCGAGGAUAAAUUACACAUUACUAUUUAUGUAUAAGAAAUGUCACAAAAAAAAAAAAAAGAGAUUUGACUUUUGCAAUGAAAAAGCAAGAAAAUUGAGAAAAUAGACUUUAUCCUUUAUACUUUAGCUUUCCAUUACCCGUCUUUUUAUAUCUUGUUACCCUUAAUUUUAAGGAUAGAGUGUCACAUAUUUGUAUUUAUUUAAUAUAUAUUAUUAAAAAUAAAAUAGUUAUAAAAAAAAUAAAAAUUUGUAAUUAAAAAAAUUAAGAAACAGAAAAGAUAAUAUAAAAUAAAUGUAAAAAAAAAAAAUUGUGUGUCACAAUUUGAACUAAAGAACAAGCAUUUCCUUAAGGAUG